Molecule: ribosomal RNA, 458 nt
Filed under: uncultured bacterium
Lineage: Bacteria
Description: partial 16S ribosomal RNA
Rfam family: Bacterial small subunit ribosomal RNA
Source: RNAcentral
GAUAAACGCUGGCGGCGUGCCUAACACAUGCAAGUCGAGCGGUAAGGCCCUUUUAGGGUACACGAGCGGCGGACGGGUGAGUAACGCGUAGGAAUCUACCCCAGACUGAGGGAUAGCCCACCGAAAGGUGGAUUAAUACCGCAUACGGUCUUCGGAUUAAAGCUUCGGCGGUUUGGGAAGAGCCUGCGUAAGAUUAGCUAGUUGGUAAGGUAAUGGCUUACCAAGGCGACGAUCUUUAGCUGGUCUGAGAGGAUGAUCAGCCACACUGGAACUGGGACACGGUCCAGACUCCUACGGGAGGCAGCAGUGAGGAAUUUUCCACAAUGGGCGAAAGCCUGAUGGAGCAACGCCGCGUGCAGGAUGAAUGCCUUCGGGUUGUAAACUGCUUUUGUCUGUGACGAAUAUGACGGUAGCCGACGAAUAAGGAUCGGCUAACUCCGUGCCAGCAGCCGCCGUAA